UGAAAAGUGACAAAACCCAAAAACAUUUGCCCCACAGGCACCAAGUAAUAUUAGCUGUUGGCUCCCAGGUUCUUCUAUUUAAAAAAAUUUUAUUGAAUAUAGUGUUCAGAGCUUCCGGGCCAUAUACCAGGGAGGAAGAGCGACUUAGUGUUAGCAGGUAAAAGGAAAUGAACUGGAGAUUGAGGGUAAGACAGAAAAGUAGAGACAGAAUCAGAAAGAAAGACAAAGGCUGAAAACCAAAGAAUCAGGGAUAGAAUGGCAGUGAAACACGGGGAGGAAGAACCCACCAAAAAACCGCCAAGGCAGACUAAGGGGGGGCUACGUUAGGUCAUAUCCAGGUGCCUCUUCAUCGGAUGCAGCAACCCGGCGAUCAACUUUUUUUGCAGCUAAAAUGGACAUAAAGGAAAAACCUUGCCCAAGGGUAUAUCCCAAGAGUAUAUCGUGGGCAAGAGAAUAGCUAGUAUGUCCUAUUGGCAAACACCCCCGUGCUUCAGUGAAUUAGAAUUUUCCCAGCUCCACACUUCUGUUCAUAUCCUUGCCCUCAGUUGUCAUCCUCCCUUCUCCUUGCUCUAAUAGUCCCACCUACCCUUCAAAACCUAGUUUAAAUCCUAACUGCUCCAUAAAGUCUAUUCUGGUCACCCCAAACUGAAGUUCUUCCCCACUCUUCUGAAUUUCCAGAGCAGUUAUUAACUUAUCUACUCUUGAUAGUCUAACUUUGUGUAACCUUAUGUUCUCUCAUCUAAGGCUGGCUUCAACUGUUACGGAAAUACGUUUUACCUGGGGCCCUUGGGUGGCUACAGUCGAUUGGGUGGUUGAGUGCCAUUGGACUCUAUUUUGGCUCAGGUCAUGAUCUCAGGGUCAUGAGAUCCAGCCCCUCUCUGCGCCCUCCCACCCCUGCAAUCAGGUUCAAGCGCAUACUCUCUCUCUCUUUCUCUGAAUAAAAUAUUUUUAAAAAUUAAAAAUAAAAAAUAUAUCUUAUUGAAGGUUCAACAUAUUUAUGUGCAAUAAUGAAUGGCUUCAAGCUGCAAUAAUGAAUGAGUAACAUUUAUAGAGUAUUUGCUGUUCUCCAGGUGAGAUUCUACAUAGAUUCUUUUUUUUUUUUUUAAGAUUUUAUUUAUUUAUACAUGAGAGACACAGAGAGAGAAGCAGAGGGAGAAGCAGGCUCCCCGAGGCAGGACUCAAUCCCAGGACCCUGGGAUCAUGACCUGAGUCAAAGGCAUAUUCUCAACCGUUGAGCCACCCAGGUGCCCCUUCUUCAUGGAUUCUUUCAUUGAAUCCUCAUGCCAACUUUACAACCGUCUCCCCUUUACGGAUGUGGAGACUGAGGUCUAGAGGAAUAACUCUCUCCAAGGCCACAUGGAUGCUGAAUGUGUCUGGGUUGUCAGAUUCAAGAGUCCAGUGCCUAGCACUCAAAGAAAUGUUUUGUCCCAGAGUACAGGCCUUCCCUUCCUGAGUACAAAGUAGCUACUCGAUAAAUUGUUAUGAUUGGAUUUUAUUCCAAGUACCCAGUAC
This 1512-nucleotide long non-coding RNA is filed under the name Canis lupus familiaris (dog). Its description in RNAcentral is "lncRNA (ENSCAFG00000058952.1)". The record is from RNAcentral. Lineage: Eukaryota; Metazoa; Chordata; Mammalia; Carnivora; Canidae.